This 761-nucleotide ribosomal RNA is filed under the name uncultured bacterium. Its description in RNAcentral is "bacterial SSU rRNA". It matches the Rfam family "Bacterial small subunit ribosomal RNA", at positions 66 to 818 of the family's 1533-position model. The record is from RNAcentral.
CGACGGGCUCAUAUUGAAACCUAGUGAUGUAUGAGUUAGUGGCGGAUGGGUGAGUAACGCGUGGAGAACCUGCCGUAUACUGGGGGAUAACACUUAGAAAUAGGUGCUAAUACCGCAUAAGCGCACAGCUUCGCAUGAAGCAGUGUGAAAAACUCCGGUGGUAUACGAUGGAUCCGCGUCUGAUUAGCUGGUUGGCGGGGUAACAGCCCACCAAGGCGACGAUCAGUAGCCGGCCUGAGAGGGUGAACGGCCACAUUGGGACUGAGACACGGCCCAAACUCCUACGGGAGGCAGCAGUGGGGAAUAUUGCACAAUGGGGGAAACCCUGAUGCAGCGACGCCGCGUGAGUGAAGAAGUAUUUCGGUAUGUAAAGCUCUAUCAGCAGGGAAGAAAUACUGACCUUACGGUCAGCAGACGGUACCUGACUAAGAAGCCCCGGCUAACUACGUGCCAGCAGCCGCGGUAAUACGUAGGGGGCAAGCGUUAUCCGGAUUUACUGGGUGUAAAGGGAGCGUAGACGGCAGCGCAAGUCUGAAGUGAAAUCCCAUGGCUUAACCAUGGAACUGCUUUGGAAACUGUGCAGCUGGAGUGCAGGAGAGGUAAGCGGAAUUCCUAGUGUAGCAGUGAAAUGCGUAGAUAUUAGGAGGAACACCAGUGGCGAAGGCGGCUUACUGGACUGUAACUGACGUUGAGGCUCGAAAGCGUGGGGAGCAAACAGGAUUAGAUACCCUGGUAGUCCACGCCGUANACGAUGAUUACUA